AUUUUGAGAAUUGGUUAUUCUAGGAUGUGGUCAUUAAGGUUUAAAAACUAUCUCAAAUAAUUUCUGCGUCAAUAAAUCAUACAAAUUUAAAAAAAAAAAUUAGACCACGCGGCCGCGCCAUCGUAAACAAUUCCAUCCUACAUUUAAUUUAAAAUUAUCUAACGGCUGAGCAGACAUUCCAUUGCACAAAAAACAAUUAAAAAAAUAAAUUGCGUUUUUUAUCCAUAAUCAUUCCAUUUGCAUUUUUUUUAAA
Cydia strobilella is the source of this 253-nucleotide long non-coding RNA. RefSeq lists it as uncharacterized. Lineage: Eukaryota; Metazoa; Arthropoda; Insecta; Lepidoptera; Tortricidae. The transcript is spliced from 2 exons. The record is from RefSeq and is a predicted model, not a curated record.